This 253-nucleotide ribosomal RNA is filed under the name uncultured bacterium. RNAcentral's name for it is "partial 16S ribosomal RNA". It matches the Rfam family "Bacterial small subunit ribosomal RNA", at positions 524 to 776 of the family's 1533-position model. The record is from RNAcentral.
UACGAAGGGAGCUAGCGUUGUUCGGAAUCACUGGGCGUAAAGCGCACGUAGGCGGAUGUGUCAGUCAGGGGUGAAAUCCUGGAGCUCAACUCCAGAACUGCCCUUGAUACUGGCGGUCUCGAGUCCGGGAGAGGUGAGUGGAACUGCGAGUGUAGAGGUGAAAUUCGUAGAUAUUCGCAAGAACACCAGUGGCGAAGGCGGCUCACUGGCCCGGUACUGACGCUGAGGUGCGAAAGCGUGGGGAGCAAACAGG